RNAcentral lists this ribosomal RNA (250 nucleotides) under uncultured Chroococcidiopsis sp. Its description in RNAcentral is "partial 16S ribosomal RNA". It matches the Rfam family "Bacterial small subunit ribosomal RNA", at positions 796 to 1044 of the family's 1533-position model. Lineage: Bacteria; Bacillati; Cyanobacteriota; Cyanophyceae; Chroococcidiopsidales; Chroococcidiopsidaceae. The record is from RNAcentral.
CACGCCGUAAACGAUGGAUACUAGGCGUUGUGAGUAUCGACCCUCACAGUGUCGUAGCUAACGCGUUAAGUAUCCCGCCUGGGGAGUACGCGCGCAAGCGUGAAACUCAAAGGAAUUGACGGGGGCCCGCACAAGCGGUGGAGUAUGUGGUUUAAUUCGAUGCAACGCGAAGAACCUUACCAGGACUUGACAUGUCGCGAAUCUCAGGGAAACUUGAGAGUGCCUUCGGGAGCGCGAACACAGGUGGUGC